GGAAGACAGUAACAAAUCUGACUCUGAGAUUUUUAACGUGCAAUCAUCCAUAUCUAUGUGCCUUAAUGUAUGAUUUUUCGUUUUCCUGUAGGGUACUGAAAGGAUCCAAGGUCUAGUUCUUGACAUCCGGAUGCUGAAGAAAGUAGAAUAUGUUGGUCAAAAAUUGAACGGAAAUGAUGUUGGGCACCGGCAACUUGAUGUGAGAUCACUGAGAAUGACUGAUGCUAACUCACAAGGGAGACAGAGUUUAACUGUUCUUGAGCUGUUCAGAAAUGUCUUUUCAGAAACUUCAAAUGUUGUACAGUUGGAAAUCGAUGCAUUUUCAAGAAUGAAGAAGCUGAGAAUUCUACGGCUAACAGAAGCAAAAUUCACUGGUAGCUACCAAUGGUUUCCGAAGAGAUUAAAAUUGCUUCAUUGGCGUGGAUUCCUUUUGAAGUCCAUUCCAAAGGAUUUGCCUUUGGAGAGCCUGGUUGCUCUGGAUAUGAGGAGGAGCAGAUUGCAACAAGCCUGGGAGGGAACUAGGAUGCUCAAGUUAUUAAAAAUUCUCAAUUUCAGUCAUUCUCAUUUCCUAAGAAGAACUCCUGAUUUUUCCGGGCUUCCUAAUCUGGAAAAACUCAUUUUGAAGGAUUGUGUAAGAUUGUUCCAUAUUCAUGAAUCGAUUGGAGAUCUAGAGGAACUUGUUCUCUUGAACCUGAGAGACUGCAAGAGUCUAUCGAAUCUUCCAAGAAGCUUUUGUAAGCUCAAGUCCUUGGAAACACUCAUCAUUUCUGGCUGUUAUGGACUUGCCCUAUCAACAAUCGAUCUACGAAAUCUGGAAUCUUUGAGAACCCUUCAUGCAGAUGAAAUUAAUUACGGUCACGAGAAAUCAUGGGUUGCACUCUGGCAAUCUUGGUCAUCCAAAUUAACAAAAUCCCCAGAUUAUGACAACUUCUCUUUAUAUUCUUUAUCAAGUUCCCUGGUUAGCUUAAGUCUGGCAAGAUGCAAGCUAACAGAUGAUGCUCUAUCACUUGGUGUUAACAACCUCUUCUCCUUACGCCAUUUGAAUCUAAGUGGAAACCUGAUCUCUA
Molecule: unclassified non-coding RNA, 1067 nt
Filed under: Hevea brasiliensis (rubber tree)
Lineage: Eukaryota; Viridiplantae; Streptophyta; Magnoliopsida; Malpighiales; Euphorbiaceae
Source: RNAcentral